CUUAAUAUAUUAAAGAAAUUAUUUAAGUUUUAUAAAAUUGUAAAAAAUGAAAUUUAAACAGGGUGAAGUUAUAAUAUUAAUCAAUAUACCUGUAAUUAUAGAUAAUUAAUUUGCCCGAUUGACCUAUAUGCAUUUUUCUUUUUUCGUGUAACCAGAUAUAACUGGAAAAUGAUAUAAUUUAAAGAAAAAAAAAAAUAAAUUCAAACAGAUAGAUUGUGCUCACUCAACUAAAACUAAUAAUUAUUCCAUUGACAACUUAUAACUAUGUACAUGUUCCACUUUCCAUCUCAUUUGAAAGUCAUAGGACAAAGUCUUCAAAAAAUGUACGGUUAUUUAAUAUGGCAUACAGAUCAUAGAACAGAGUCCGAAUCCAGGUUGAUCAGUUCAAUUUGAUAUUACAUAUUCAAAACUAGACUCAACUGGACUAACAGUACAGAGUACAUCCUGUUUGUUUAAAUAAAAAAGAGUAUUAUCUCUUAUAAUUAAGUUAACCUUUGUCAAUGAUCUUCAAAUCACUUUUCAAUUUUUUUUUUUUUGCAAAAAGUCAGAGGCGAGUUGUGCGAGACGAACACGGAAUUUUUUUUAAAUUCAGAAAUAUUCCAUAAUUAAAAUAGCAUUUCGUUUAAUUUAGAAAUGGUUAUUAUAAAUAAUUUUUCAUAUUUUAUUAAUUGUUUAAAUAAAUAAUUUAUGUAUAAACAAUUUGUACAUACGUUGUAUAUACGUUUAAUAGUUAAUAAAUUGAUUAUUAUUGUUAAAUUUUAAA
Leptopilina boulardi is the source of this 763-nucleotide long non-coding RNA. RefSeq lists it as uncharacterized. The transcript is spliced from 3 exons. The record is from RefSeq and is a predicted model, not a curated record. NCBI's taxonomy places the organism in Eukaryota, Metazoa, Arthropoda, Insecta, Hymenoptera, Figitidae.